Molecule: ribosomal RNA, 585 nt
Filed under: uncultured bacterium
Lineage: Bacteria
Description: partial 16S ribosomal RNA
Rfam family: Bacterial small subunit ribosomal RNA
Source: RNAcentral
UGGGGAAUUUUGGACAAUGGGCGAAAGCCUGAUCCAGCAAUGCCGCGUGUGUGAAGAAGGCCUUCGGGUUGUAAAGCACUUUUGUCCGGAAAGAAAUCCUUGGCUCUAAUACAGUCGGGGGAUGACGGUACCGGAAGAAUAAGCACCGGCUAACUACGUGCCAGCAGCCGCGGUAAUACGUAGGGUGCAAGCGUUAAUCGGAAUUACUGGGCGUAAAGCGUGCGCAGGCGGUUUGCUAAGACCGAUGUGAAAUCCCCGGGCUCAACCUGGGAACUGCAUUGGUGACUGGCAGGCUAGAGUAUGGCAGAGGGGGGUAGAAUUCCACGUGUAGCAGUGAAAUGCGUAGAGAUGUGGAGGAAUACCGAUGGCGAAGGCAGCCCCCUGGGCCAAUACUGACGCUCAUGCACGAAAGCGUGGGGAACAAACAGGAUUAGAUACCCUGGUAGUCCCACGCCCUAAACGAUGUCAACUAGUUGUUGGGGAUUCAUUUCCUUAGUAACGUAGCUAACGCGUGAAGUUGACCGCCUGGGGAGUACGGUCGCAAGAUUAAAACUCAAAGGAAUUGACGGGGUCAUAGCUGUUUCC